This is a small RNA of Firmicutes bacterium CAG:56, 73 nucleotides long. It matches the Rfam family "RAGATH-18 RNA". From Rfam's summary of the family: Actinobacteria, Firmicutes, Fusobacteria, Thermotogae (1 example). Nearby to self-cleaving ribozyme genes The record is from Rfam. NCBI's taxonomy places the organism in Bacteria, Bacillati, Bacillota.
CCUAUGGAGAGUACAAGAACUUGUGAGUAGUAUCUGUUUCGACAGUACAAAAGCAUACUCAUUGAAGUAGGAA